CCUACGGGAGGCAGCAGUGAGGAAUAUUGGUCAAUGGGCGCGAGCCUGAACCAGCCAAGUCACGUGAGGGAAGACGGUCCUAUGGAUUGUAAACCUCUUUUGUCGGGGAGCAAAAGACGCCACGCGUGGCGUUCCGAGAGUACCCGAAGAAAAAGCAUCGGCUAACUCCGUGCCAGCAGCCGCGGUAAUACGUAGGGGGCGAGCGUUAUCCGGAUUCACUGGGUGUAAAGGGAGCGUAGACGGCCAUGCAAGCCAGGGGUGAAAGCCCGGGGCCCAACCCCGGGACUGCCCUUGGAACUGCAUGGCUGGAGUGCGGGAGGGGCAGGCGGAAUUCCUGGUGUAGCGGUGAAAUGCGUAGAUAUCAGGAGGAACACCGAUUGCGAAGGCAGCUUACCAAGCUACUUCUGACGUUGAGGCACGAAAGCGUGGGGAGCAAACAGGAUUAGAUACCCGAGUAGUC
This 460-nucleotide ribosomal RNA is filed under the name uncultured bacterium. Its description in RNAcentral is "partial 16S ribosomal RNA". It matches the Rfam family "Bacterial small subunit ribosomal RNA", at positions 338 to 795 of the family's 1533-position model. The record is from RNAcentral.